Molecule: long non-coding RNA, 1669 nt
Organism: Macaca fascicularis (crab-eating macaque)
Lineage: Eukaryota; Metazoa; Chordata; Mammalia; Primates; Cercopithecidae
Source: Ensembl
UUUUUUUUUUUUCUUUUUUUGAGAUGGAGUCUCACUCUGUUGCCCAGGUUGGAGUGCAGUUGUACGAUCUCAGCUCAUUGCAAGCUCCAACCCCCUAGAUUCAAGUGAUUUCUCCUGCCUCAGCCUCCCAAGUAGCUGGGAUUACAGGCACAGCCACCACGCCCAGCUAAGUUUUGUAUUUUUAGUAGCGACGGGUUUCACCAUGUUGGUCAGGCUGGUCUCGAACUCCUGACCUCAGGUGAUCCGGCCACCUUGGCCUCCCAAAGUGCUGGGAUUACAGGCAUGAGCCACUGCGCCCAGUUGAUUACUCAUGUAUUUUUCAAUCCCCAAAUGCACCAUCAAUUUGAGCUGACAUCCGUUCUUCCUCUCCACCAGCUGAAUCAGAGGGUGGACUAAUUGGACCUGACAUGUGCAAGGAUAAGGAGCUUUUUAACCUGAGAGCUGCCAGGCCUCCCUAAGUCUCUCAGGGACCUGCUCACAGGUUGCCAUGAAGGUGAAUUGAAAUAAGGUGUGCAGCGUGGUGAGCACAGUGGCCGGCACCCUGGGAGUCCUCAGUAUAAACGGUUAUUAUUUCACACAGGGUGUUGAUUGCGCUAAGCUGCCCAGGAGUGGCCUCUUGGCUGGUCCUAAGUGACUCAGUCCUCAUUACUCCCCACUUUCUGCCAGGUGCAUUCAGAGCAGCUUGGUUCAGACCUGGCCUUACUACUGCCACGCUGGUGGGGGUUGGGGUGGUGCUGGCCAGAGUGACCAGUCCUCUGGUCUCAACCCUCACCUAGGCCAGGGGGAGGACCUGACCUUAUGGGACGUUUCACAGGACUGGCUCCUCGUCUUUGCCCAUGGAUCUGCCUCAUCUCCCUCCCUCACCUGCUGGCCUGGUGGGAGGUGUCUACUUUUGUGUGCCCCUGUGUGCAUGCCUGGCCUUUCCUUUUUCUUUUGUGAGCUGUGCCAGAGGUUCCUGGUGCUGGCUGGCCUCAAAGAGCUGAGGGAAAAGCAUGCGGUGUGGAGCCACCCAGAGGGUAGAGCCUGGAUGCCUUCAUAGAUACCUGCCUUGCUGAGGUCAGGAGAUUCAAGCUCCCAUUCUGUGCGACUGUUGCUGCCACCACCCGGGGAGUAGGUAUCUUUGUUAAGAUCUGGGCUUGGAGUGGAGCCAGAGCCAGGGCAGGAGGGGCCUGCAGUCCAGAGCUGUACUCUCAUAUUCCUGGAUGGGAGAUGCCAAGCUCCUCAGUCCCCAAGGUGGCUGGAAGGGCCUGGGCUGUUAGAAGCUGCUGUGUUUUGAAAGAUGAUGUCCCCUCCAAAAUUCAUGUUGAAACUCAGCUCCCAAUGCAACAAUAUUAAGAGAUAGGGACUUUGGGAGGUGAUUAGGCCAUGAGGACUCCACCCUCAUGAAUGGGGAUUAGUGACCUUACAGAAGGGAUUCAGGAGGCAAAUUUGCCCCUUCUGACCCAUCUGCUACGUGAGGACACGGUGUUCUUUGUUCUGGAGGAUAAAGCCACAGGGUGCCAUAUGGGAAGCAGACAGCAGCCCUCACCCGCUGACACCUUGAAAAAUACAUUUCUGUUCUGUAUAAAUCACCCAGGCUGCAGUGUUCUAUUAGAGCAGCACAAACUGAAGACAGGAGUCUUGCUGCCAUUCUCCUCCAACCACCUGCAGACUUGUCUGUUUAACCCAG